This 635-nucleotide ribosomal RNA is filed under the name uncultured bacterium. RNAcentral's name for it is "bacterial SSU rRNA". It matches the Rfam family "Bacterial small subunit ribosomal RNA", at positions 63 to 692 of the family's 1533-position model. The record is from RNAcentral.
CGAGGGGCAGCGUGGAGCAGCAAUGCUCUGACGGCGACCGGCGGAAGGGUGCGUAACACGUGAGCGACUUGCCCGUCACAGGGGGAUAACCGGCGGAAACGGCGACUAAUACCCCAUAUGCUGCGAUGCUGCAUGGCAUUGCAAUGAAAGAUUCAUCGGUGGCGGAUAGGCUCGCGGGACAUUAGCUAGACGGCGGGGCAACGGCCCACCGUGGCGACGAUGUCUAGGGGUUCUGAGAGGAAGACCCCCCACACUGGGACUGAGACACGGCCCAGACUUCUACGGGAGGCAGCAGUGAGGAAUAUUGGUCAAUGGGCGGAAGCCUGAACCAGCCAUGCCGCGUGAAGGACUAAGGCCCUACGGGUCGUAAACUUCUUUAGACGCAGAGCAAUAAGGUCCACGUGUGGACCGAUGAGAGUAUGCGUAGAAUAAGCAUCGGCUAACUCCGUGCCAGCAGCCGCGGUAAUACGGGGGAUGCGAGCGUUAUCCGGAUUCAUUGGGUUUAAAGGGUGCGUAGGCGGCCGAGUAAGUCAGCGGUGAAAGACCGGGGCUCAACCCUGGAAGUGCCGUUGAUACUGUUUGGCUGGAAUGAUCCCGCCGCGGGAGGAAUGAGUGGUGUAGCGGUGAAAUGCAUA